Molecule: long non-coding RNA, 536 nt
Filed under: Sus scrofa (pig)
Lineage: Eukaryota; Metazoa; Chordata; Mammalia; Artiodactyla; Suidae
Description: lncRNA (ENSSSCG00035074480.1)
Source: RNAcentral
GAAGGCACCGCCCUCGCUGUGGAGCGCUUUGCUUACAGUCUGCUCCCGCUUCAGAAGCGCCAUCGUUUCCGCCCCAGUGUCCCCGAACCCACCACAGGACGAGGCUCACAGUGGCGCACAGUUCGUGCUGCCUUAACCAACGUGUCCAAUCAGGCGUGGACGCUCCUGGGAAGAAUGACCGAGCCGGCCUCCACGGGGGCUUUGGGGCAGAUGCGCGUCCGGUGCCCGGCCCCUUCCACGGCUGCCCCUUGUGGGUGAGGGAAGGUCCCUGCUGGGCUUCACCCUCAGCCCUCGGUUUGGGCCUGGACGGUCAGCUUCUCUCCUGGGCCCUGGACCUGGAGGACCUGACCCAGCACCCUCUACACGGGAACAUUAUGUUAACGGCCCCCAGCGAACACGGUGACUUAACAAAACAACGUGCAGGAAUACAUCCCGAGUGACCCCUCCGACGCGGUGGCUGCCUCGUCCUUACCCGCGGUGGUAACGGGCCGUGCGGGUGCUGGCAGGGUCCUGCCGAGGCUGAUGGACAUCCCGGC